This 478-nucleotide ribosomal RNA is filed under the name uncultured bacterium. RNAcentral describes it as "partial 16S ribosomal RNA". It matches the Rfam family "Bacterial small subunit ribosomal RNA", at positions 28 to 523 of the family's 1533-position model. The record is from RNAcentral.
GACGAACGCUGGCGGCGUGCUUAACACAUGCAAGUCGAACGGUAAGGCCCUUCGGGGUACACGAGUGGCGAACGGGUGAGUAACACGUGGGUGAUCUGCCCUGCACUUCGGGAUAAGCCUGGGAAACUGGGUCUAAUACCGGAUAGGACCACUGCCUGCAUGGGUGGUGGUGGAAAGCUUUUGCGGUGUGGGAUGGGCCCGCGGCCUAUCAGCUUGUUGGUGGGGUGAUGGCCUACCAAGGCGACGACGGGUAGCCGGCCUGAGAGGGUGACCGGACACACUGGGAAUGGGAUACGGCCCAGACUCCUACGGGAGGCAGCAGUGGGGAAUAUUGCACAAUGGGCGCAAGCCUGAUGCAGCGACGCCGCGUGAGGGAUGACGGCCUUCGGGUUGUAAACCUCUUUCAGCACCGACGAAGCGCAAGUGACGGUAGGUGCAGAAGAAGGACCGGCCAACUACGUGCCAGCCGCCGCGGUAA